This 900-nucleotide ribosomal RNA is filed under the name bacterium enrichment culture. RNAcentral describes it as "bacterial SSU rRNA". It matches the Rfam family "Bacterial small subunit ribosomal RNA", at positions 78 to 956 of the family's 1533-position model. The record is from RNAcentral.
AGCAAUCCCCCGGUAGGGUGGCGAACGGGUGAGUAAGACAUGGGAAUCUGUCCCGGAGAUGGGGAUAUCCUUCCGAAAGGAGGGUUAAUACCGAAUACCGUCCGGUGGGCGAGAGUCCAUCGGGGAAAGGGAGGCCUCUGGCAACAAGCUUCCGCUCCGGGAGGAGCCCAUGGCCCAUCAGCUAGUUGGGAGGGUAACGGCCUACCAAGGCGAAGACGGGUAGCUGGUCUGAGAGGACGAUCAGCCACACUGGCACUGAGACACGGGCCAGACUCCUACGGGAGGCAGCAGUGAGGAAUUUUGCGCAAUGGGGGCAACCCUGACGCAGCAACGCCGCGUGUGGGAAGAAGGCUUUCGGGUUGUAAACCACUUUUGUAAGGGACGAAGUCCUUUCGGCAAAUAACCGAGGGGGAUGACGGUACCUUGCGAAUAAGCCACGGCUAACUCUGUGCCAGCAGCCGCGGUAAGACAGGGGUGGCAAGCGUUGUUCGGAGUAACUGGGCGUAAAGGGUCUGUAGGUGGUUUGUCAAGUCUUUGGUAAAACGCCGUGGCUCAACCAUGGUUUGGCCAAGGAGACUGGGAGACUGGAGGCUGGGAGAGGGAAGCGGAAUUUCUGGUGUAGCGGUGAAAUGCGUAGAGAUCAGAAAGAAGGCCGGUGGCGAAGGCGGCUUCCUGGAACAGACCUGACACUGAGAGACGAAAGCGUGGGGAGCAAACAGGAUUAGAUACCCUGGUAGUCCACGCCCUAAACGAUGGGAACUAAGUGUGGGGAGCAAUCCCCGUGCCGCAGCUAACGCAAUAAGUUCCCCGCCUGGGGAGUACGGCCGCAAGGUUGAAACUCAANAGGAAUUGACGGGNGGCCCGCACAAAGCGGUGGGUGCAUGUGGGUUUAAUUCGACG